GUCUCCCAUCCAAGUACUAACCAGGCCCAACCCUACUUAAGCUUCCAAGAUCAGAUGAGAUUGGGCACGUUCAGGG
This 76-nucleotide small RNA is filed under the name Cricetulus griseus (Chinese hamster). The record is from RNAcentral. Lineage: Eukaryota; Metazoa; Chordata; Mammalia; Rodentia; Cricetidae.